Beta vulgaris subsp. vulgaris (sugar beet) is the source of this 551-nucleotide long non-coding RNA. RefSeq lists it as uncharacterized. Lineage: Eukaryota; Viridiplantae; Streptophyta; Magnoliopsida; Caryophyllales; Amaranthaceae. The transcript is spliced from 2 exons. The record is from RefSeq and is a predicted model, not a curated record.
UCCACUGGAUAUUGCCAUCUCUACUCCUCAACAUAAACUCCAAAACACUUACACUCCUCUCACUCCCUUUCAUCUCUCAACUCUCGUAUCUCCCCCUCUCUUCACGCCCUUCAGCACUGAAAUCAUUUCAAACCACGUUACCUUUCUUUGUAAACGCAUAGCCUUCAAACCAGCGACACCUUCUAAUUUUGGAGAGAGAAAUUGAAAAUUCUAGAAGAGAGAGAAAGAAACCACAAAUUCCAUGGCAGACGAUGAAGAAGUCUCAAAAAAAACAGAGCAACUUAACUAUAAGUAGAAGCUUGAGAUUGCGAAAUGGUUUCUCUUGAAUUCUCCCACCAGCGAAAUACAAUACGUUUUCAAAGAUGUGAAGCUGACUUUGAAGGAUGAUAAUGUGCAUAAUUUGGCUGCUUUGGACGCGUUUCCUCAGUACAAUAAAUCUCAUAUGAUUUGUCUUGAACUUCUUGAUAAAAGUAGUGAUGUAAAUUUCUUUUCGAAAUGUUUUAGCUAUGAACUUUAUUUAUGAUAUUAUGGAUGAAAUAUGUGUUAAUUCA